RNAcentral lists this ribosomal RNA (720 nucleotides) under Vibrio sp. UOH-69. Its description in RNAcentral is "bacterial SSU rRNA". It matches the Rfam family "Bacterial small subunit ribosomal RNA", at positions 48 to 748 of the family's 1533-position model. Lineage: Bacteria; Pseudomonadati; Pseudomonadota; Gammaproteobacteria; Vibrionales; Vibrionaceae. The record is from RNAcentral.
CUAACACAUGCAAGUCGAGCGGAAACGACACUAACAAUCCUUCGGGUGCGUUAAUGGGCGUCGAGCGGCGGACGGGUGAGUAAUGCCUAGGAAAUUGCCUUGAUGUGGGGGAUAACCAUUGGAAACGAUGGCUAAUACCGCAUAAUGCCUACGGGCCAAAGAGGGGGACCUUCGGGCCUCUCGCGUCAAGAUAUGCCUAGGUGGGAUUAGCUAGUUGGUGAGGUAAUGGCUCACCAAGGCGACGAUCCCUAGCUGGUCUGAGAGGAUGAUCAGCCACACUGGAACUGAGACACGGUCCAGACUCCUACGGGAGGCAGCAGUGGGGAAUAUUGCACAAUGGGCGAAAGCCUGAUGCAGCCAUGCCGCGUGUAUGAAGAAGGCCUUCGGGUUGUAAAGUACUUUCAGUUGUGAGGAAGGGGGUAGCGUUAAUAGCUCUAUCUCUUGACGUUAGCAACAGAAGAAGCACCGGCUAACUCCGUGCCAGCAGCCGCGGUAAUACGGAGGGUGCGAGCGUUAAUCGGAAUUACUGGGCGUAAAGCGCAUGCAAGUGGUUCAUUAAGUCAGAUGUGAAAGCCCGGGGCUCAACCUCGGAACUGCAUUUGAAACUGUGAACUAGAGUACUGUAGAGGGGGGUAGAAUUUCAGGUGUAGCGGUGAAAUGCGUAGAGAUCUGAAGGAAUACCAAUGGCGAAGGCGGCCCCCUGGACAGAUACUGACACUC